This 1062-nucleotide long non-coding RNA is filed under the name Gossypium barbadense (sea-island cotton). RNAcentral's name for it is "long non-coding RNA (GBAR_LNC009551)". The record is from RNAcentral. Lineage: Eukaryota; Viridiplantae; Streptophyta; Magnoliopsida; Malvales; Malvaceae.
UUUGCCCUCUUUCCCUCUCCCUUUGCUUCAGCCGAUCGGGCUAUCUCACCGUCCACCGUAUCGCCACUAUUUUCGGUGCCUGGCGACGCGCGACCAUGGGUAUUUAAACCCCGCUUGGGAGCCCUUCGAAGGCCAAGCACCUCGACGUCCUUUGGGAGCCAAGAGAGAAACCCGUGGCCCUCUCCUUCGAACCUAAUAGCCACGAUGGAGAAGGUUCUCCGGCGACGCGUCCGUGGUUUCAGGUGAGGUUUCCUUAUUUCUUUACUUUUACUUUUGUCUAUUUUCGUAUAUAAAAAAGAAAAAUAAAAAACAGAAUAAAUGAACUCAGAUCUUAGAACGAAAAUGAAAAUCAACCUUUUUUGAUUUCUUGCUACCCUUUGUUUAUGUUUGUUUCGAUCUCUAAUAUCUGUGUUACAAAAUCUUUUUUUUCUAUAAAAAAAGAAGAACCCCCUUUUAAACACCCCUUUCUUCAAUCGGGUUCCUUCCAAGGCUUUAUAGCCGAUUUCGCUAUUGUUUCUCUGCUAUCUCUUUUGCUGUUUGCACAUGGUUUUUGUCUUUUUGCAUCCUCUUUUCUUGCUUGUUUGCAGGCUUUGAGGGGUGUCAGACGCAUAGAGGAGAGGGGCAUGCGUGGGGCGUGCGACGGCGGUAGUGCGCAAGGUGGCUAAUGGUUGGCCUAGAGGUUCGGCAGCACACCUGGGGGCUGAGCUGCGGCUGAAGGUUGAUUGCUAAAAAAUUGUAAGAUAGUUGGGCUAGGGUUUUGAAUUGGGCUUGGGUAUUGGGCUAAUUUGUAAUGGGUUUUUGUGUGUGUGUGUGUUUUUUAGGCUGGUAAUUGGGUUUUAGUUGGGUAUUAGGUUUAUUAUUUAUUGGACUGUUUUUGUUGUUUUUUUUUGUGAUUUGGGCUCGGGCUAAUUAGUUUUAUUAUAUCGGGCCCGGGCAAAAUUGGGCCCGUACAGUCAUAUACAAUUAGGCUCUAGUAAUUGCAAUUAUGUCCAAAAGCAUUGUUUCGAUAGUUCGCAAUUACUUAAACAUGGAGUCAGUCUACAAGAAGUACCUUGAUUGAAA